UUAAUAGUAGCUUGAGGCUUCUCAUUGUUAAUGAGAUUAUGAAUUUAAUUCCUAUUAAU
This 59-nucleotide transfer RNA is filed under the name Songthela hangzhouensis. Its description in RNAcentral is "tRNA-Asn". The record is from RNAcentral. Lineage: Eukaryota; Metazoa; Arthropoda; Arachnida; Araneae; Liphistiidae.